UGGAAUGUCGUGAAUUAUGGUC
Molecule: microRNA, 22 nt
Filed under: Schmidtea mediterranea
Lineage: Eukaryota; Metazoa; Platyhelminthes; Tricladida; Dugesiidae
Description: sme-miR-1b-3p
Gene: sme-miR-1b-3p
Source: miRBase by way of RNAcentral